GCGGGGAAUCUUCCGCAAUGGACGAAAGUCUGACGGAGCAACGCCGCGUGAGUGAAGAAGGUUUUCGGAUCGUAAAGCUCUUUCGUUAGGGACGAACGUGCUCUUUGUGAAUAAUGAGGAGUAAUGACGGUACCUAAAUAAGAAGCCACGGCUAACUACGUGCCAGCAGCCGCGGUAAUACGUAGGUGGCAAGCGUUGUCCGGAAUUAUUGGGCGUAAAGCGCGCGACGGCGGGAUAUCAAGUCUGUCUUAAAAGUGCGAGGCUCAACCUCGUGAGGGGACAGAAACUGGUAUUCUUGAGUGUCGGAGAGGAAAGUGGAAUUCCAAGUGUAGCGGUGAAAUGCGUAGAGAUUUGGAAGAACACCAGUGGCGAAGGCGACUUUCUGGACGAUGUCUGACGCUGAGGCGCGAAAGCUAGGGGAGCGAACGGGAUUAGAAACCCUAGUAGUCC
This 450-nucleotide ribosomal RNA is filed under the name uncultured bacterium. RNAcentral describes it as "partial 16S ribosomal RNA". It matches the Rfam family "Bacterial small subunit ribosomal RNA", at positions 354 to 796 of the family's 1533-position model. The record is from RNAcentral.